AACUGAUGGGAUUCUCUGCUUAUACAGACCUAUAUUUGUUUUUGCUUUCGGUUUCAGGAAAAAAAAUACCCAUCACAAACUGCAUAAAAGCAUAGAAAUAGCUCUGCUGUUCUGAGGAUUCAGCGUGGGCUUAUUGUAGAGCUUAGUGGCUGAGUUACCCAAUCAUAAUGAGCUACCGUGUACAUCAGCUGAGCAUGAUAAAGCACUCCUAAUGCGUCUACAAUGCAGGGGUCUCUCAGUGAAGAAAGUUCUGUUCCUGUUACAAGCUAAGAACUGCAGCUUAGAGUAUGAGUCAAUUCUUUGGAGGAAGCACUUAAACACCUGCUUGACUUUUGCCAUGUAGAGCAGCUCCUCGCACUUCAGUGGUGUGAGAUCAGACUCUUUACUACAUAAUUUUUCAUCUGUCUUACCUCAUUUUGGUUCCUUUUUGUCUGUAAAUAUUGUACUUUUUAUGAAGGAUUUUCUAAUUCCAUGUUCUCAGAAAGAGCACAAAUCCAUAGCGCAGGGAAUUAUGUUCUUUCAGUUUCUCAGGGACUCAUCUCUGCUGGUACUCCCUUUGUCUUCCUCUUCCUAUACUAUUGGUUUUCUUCUGGGUCUCAGGCACUGGAGGCAGCCAGAGUAAUAGCAGGAAAUGUAUUACGGAAGUGCAGACUACCUGGGAUCAGGACCUUGUUGCCCUGCAGAGGAAGAAGCGGGGAUCUACAAAUAUGAAAAGAAGAUGGAUCAGAAGAUGGGAAGAAAGUGAACUAGCUCUCUCUCUUCUACCUUAAACUAGGCUGCUGUGAACACAAGAGGCUGUAUAUGCAGAUCAAGGUUACCAAGGGACAGAGACACCUCUGGCUUAAGUUAUUUUCCUUAUUAAACUGGCAGUGGAAGAAGUAAGUGGUGUAAAAUUCUCUACAUCAACUCAAAAGCACUGAAAGAUCAUCCAUGCCCUAGAAAAUUAAAUUGGCUUUAUGGUCAGACAAUGCCCAGCAGUGUAAUCCAGAGACACGGGAGGAUUUGUAUUGUAAAGUACUCGAAUUAAAGGAGUGCUUGUAUUCUGGGAGUUUGAUUCUUCCCACCACAAAUGGUGUUUGGAUCUGGGAUUUUUGUUUGGACCUGCCUGUGCCUCUUACAAAACCAAAACAAGCAAGCUGUCAUUUUUACAAAAGCCCAGAUGUACUUUUAUUUUUUACAAAGACAGACAAAUAUCAGUACCA
This 1202-nucleotide long non-coding RNA is filed under the name Anser brachyrhynchus (Pink-footed goose). RNAcentral describes it as "lncRNA (ENSABRG00000011861.1)". The record is from RNAcentral. Lineage: Eukaryota; Metazoa; Chordata; Aves; Anseriformes; Anatidae.